Molecule: ribosomal RNA, 606 nt
Filed under: Triticum aestivum (bread wheat)
Lineage: Eukaryota; Viridiplantae; Streptophyta; Magnoliopsida; Poales; Poaceae
Description: partial small subunit ribosomal RNA
Source: RNAcentral
AUGUCAAUCGCUGAAAUGUAUGCAGAUCUCCCAGCGAACACGCCUUUAACUGUGUUUGGACAACGUUGCACUAAUCUAGAGAGGCGGAAAUACAUAUUCCAGCAUGGCUUUGCAACUGACCCAUGGGUGAAUGGAGUUGUGCCUCGUCCACCACAUGCGCCAACCACAGAUCUCAUUGUCACCCACUUCUCACAGCUGCCACCGCCGGACUUGGAGAGGCACUACAUCAUACAUGCUAAUCCUAGGUUUGUCCGUGUUUCGGGGAUGGCUAUGCGUGAACAGCUAAUCGGCACGGAGCAUCUCCACCACGAGCUCGUGUCUUUAAUCAUGAGAAGAUAUUCUCAAUCUGAUCAAGAAGCCAACUCAGAAAGCCCAUACAUGAAUUGGAGGCACAACAUGGAACCUGAUUUUGCGACCAUUGUCUUGGCGGACCAUGAAUAUGUGACAAACAUUUCGAUUCAGAAACAGCUGGUUGGGAAGGACAUCCCGUACGACAUAACCUCUUCCCAGAUGUUCUUCUUGCCAGUCCCAUUGGAGGACGGCUGGAUCAUACUCAUGUGGGACAUGAUGGCAAGGAAGCUGCAUGUGCUUGACCCACUUAUUUGA